This 406-nucleotide ribosomal RNA is filed under the name uncultured bacterium. Its description in RNAcentral is "bacterial SSU rRNA". It matches the Rfam family "Bacterial small subunit ribosomal RNA", at positions 355 to 773 of the family's 1533-position model. The record is from RNAcentral.
UGGGGAAUAUUGCGCAAUGGGCGGAAGCCUGACGCAGCGACGCCGCGUGCGGGAUGAAGGCCUUCGGGUUGUAAACCGCUUUCACCAGGGACGAAGCUAACGUGACGGUACCUGGGGAAGAAGCGCCGGCUAACUACGUGCCAGCAGCCGCGGUAAUACGUAGGGCGCGAGCGUUGUCCGGAAUUAUUGGGCGUAAAGAGCUCGUAGGCGGCUGGUUGCGUCUGCUGUGAAAUCCCGGGGCUUAACCCCGGGCGUGCAGUGGAUACGGGCCGGCUGGAGGCAGGCAGGGGAGAAUGGAAUUCCCGGUGUAGCGGUGAAAUGCGCAGAUAUCGGGAGGAACACCGGUGGCGAAGGCGGUUCUCUGGGCCUGUACUGACGCUGAGGAGCGAAAGCGUGGGGAGCGAAC